GAUGAACGCUGGCGGCGUGCCUAAUACAUGCAAGUCGAGCGAACAGACGAGGAGCUUGCUCCUCUGACGUUAGCGGCGGACGGGUGAGUAACACGUGGAUAACCUACCUAUAAGACUGGGAUAACUUCGGGAAACCGGAGCUAAUACCGGAUAAUAUAUUGAACCGCAUGGUUCAAUAGUGAAAGACGGUUUUGCUGUCACUUAUAGAUGGAUCCGCGCCGCAUUAGCUAGUUGGUAAGGUAACGGCUUACCAAGGCAACGAUGCGUAGCCGACCUGAGAGGGUGAUCGACCACACUGGAACUGAGACACGGUCCAGACUCCAACGGGAAGCAGCAGUAGGGAAUCUUCCGCAAUGGGCGAAAGCCUGACGGAGCAACGCCGCGUGAGUGAUGAAGGUCUUCGGAUCGUAAAACUCUGUUAUUGGGGAAGAACAAAUGUGUAAGUAACUAUGCACGUCUUGACGGUACCUAAUCAGAAAGCCACGGCUAACUACGUG
This 497-nucleotide ribosomal RNA is filed under the name uncultured bacterium. RNAcentral's name for it is "partial 16S ribosomal RNA". It matches the Rfam family "Bacterial small subunit ribosomal RNA", at positions 28 to 507 of the family's 1533-position model. The record is from RNAcentral.